This 501-nucleotide ribosomal RNA is filed under the name uncultured bacterium. RNAcentral describes it as "partial 16S ribosomal RNA". It matches the Rfam family "Bacterial small subunit ribosomal RNA", at positions 30 to 523 of the family's 1533-position model. The record is from RNAcentral.
AUUGAACGCUGGCGGCAGGCUUAACACAUGCAAGUCGAGCGGAGAUGAGGUGCUUGCACCUUAUCUUAGCGGCGGACGGGUGAGUAAUGCUUAGGAAUCUGCCUAUUAGUGGGGGACAACAUUCCGAAAGGGAUGCUAAUACCGCAUACGUCCUACGGGAGAAAGCAGGGGAUCUUCGGACCUCGCGCUAAUAGAUGAGCCUAAGUCGGAUUAGCUAGUUGGUGGGGUAAAGGCCUACCAAGGCGACGAUCUGUAGCGGGUCUGAGAGGAUGAUCCGCCACGCUGGGACUGAGACACGGCCCAGACUCCUACGGGAGGCAGCAGUGGGGAAUAUUGGACAAUGGGGGGAACCCUGAUCCAGCCAUGCCGCGUGUGUGAAGAAGGCCUUAUGGUUGUAAAGCACUUUAAGCGAGGAGGAGGCUACUGAGACUAAUACUCUUGGAUAGUGGACGUUACUCGCAGAAUAAGCACCGGCUAACUCUGUGCCAGCCGCCGCGGUAA